This 492-nucleotide ribosomal RNA is filed under the name uncultured bacterium. RNAcentral describes it as "partial 16S ribosomal RNA". It matches the Rfam family "Bacterial small subunit ribosomal RNA", at positions 29 to 507 of the family's 1533-position model. The record is from RNAcentral.
AGUGAACGCUGGCGGUAGGCCUAACACAUGCAAGUCGAACGGCAGCACAGUAAGAGCUUGCUCUUACGGGUGGCGAGUGGCGGACGGGUGAGGAAUACAUCGGAAUCUACUUUUUCGUGGGGGAUAACGUAGGGAAACUUACGCUAAUACCGCAUACGACCUACGGGUGAAAGCAGGGGAUCUUCGGACCUUGCGCGAUUGAAUGAGCCGAUGUCGGAUUAGCUAGUUGGCGGGGUAAAGGCCCACCAAGGCGACGAUCCGUAGCUGGUCUGAGAGGAUGAUCCGCCACACUGGAACUUAGACACGGGCCAGACUCCUACGGGAGGCAGCAGUGGGGAAUAUUGGACAAUGGGCGGAAGCCUGAUCCAGCCAUACCGCGUGGGUGAAGAAGGCCUUCGGGUUGUAAAGCCCUUUUGUUGGGAAAGAAAAGCAGCAGGUUAAUACCCCGCUGUUCUGACGGUACCCAAAGAAUAAGCACCGGCUAACUUCGUG